CAGGCCCUGUGAUUCAGCAAGGAGUGUAAACCGUGGUUCCUUAAAUAAAGAGGGCACUGGUCCUUGGGUCGUCUGAGACUGAGAAACGGAAGAACUACGAGGCGAAGCCAGGGCAGGGCGGACCCCGGGCAGCUGCCCCUGGCUCSGGUUACCACCUGGUGAAAUGGGCCACGAUGGAUUCAGCUCCGGAUGCGUUGUUCACCACUUAAAGCCCCCAGUGCGGUCACUCCAAGAGAGGAAUCACAAAAGAAAAGGAGAAGCCUAUGCCAGAAAAUUCACACCAGCCUCAUCUGAAAUGGCAAAACCUGCAAGCGACCAAAUGACCAUCGACACAAGAACAAAUAAACGGGCUGGAUCGUAGAGGCAGUGGGAAGGAAUGGAGUAUGGGGACCCAAUACAACAUAAAUAAUGAUGCUGGGUAGAAGAAGCAUGAAUCCUAUGCUUUAUGAUUUGUGCUCUYCACAUGAAGUUAUAGAAAAUUAUAGAAAUUAUAGAAACUAUCUGAUCAUCACAGAAAGCAGAUCGAAGUUUGCUGAGAGACGUGGGGAAGGGCUGGGAGGAAACAGGAGGAGAGAUUACAAGGSGAUCACAUUCUAAUCCCCCCUGGGAAAGCAAACAGUUGGGCCGUGUUCCCAGCUCUCCCCAGGGCAGCUCAGGAGGAGAGAGUGAAAGGGGCCAAGACAGAAGCCUUGGGUUUUUUUGGUAACCUAUUCUCAGAUGGAAUCCCAGGGACUAGGGCGGCUGAGGCAGGAGGAUGGAAAGUUCAAGGCCAGCCUGGGCAAUUUAGCAAGACCCUGUUACAAACUAAAAUAGAAAGGGCUGGGGCUGUAGCUCAGUGGUAGAGCACCUGUCUGGCAUGCAAAUGGAUCAGGUAUUGGAUCCCCCUUACCACAAGGGGAAAAAAGCCACCUCCACUACUGCCACUGUGUCCCAGGCAUCUGAGGAAAGUCAAACCCAACCCACACGCAAGGGACAGGCAACCUAUGAGGGAGCCAUUCCACAGAGGGUGGAUCUUUGGGGUUCUCUUAGGUGCUCCCUGCUGYAAGCCGCAGAGGCCAACACAGGCAUGUUCUGCAGACCUGGCCACAUGAGGUCACGGUAUCUGUGGCCUGGUGGGUCAGAAACACCUCACAAAGACAUUCUUUCCUUCUUAAAAAAAAAAAAAAAAGGUCAUCAUUCCUCCUUCCCCAGUGGUCACAAGAGCUGAAGGUGCCAGCAGAGUUGGCACCCGGUGUCUGRGUGCUCUCCCUUGCCACUAAAACGAGAGCCUGUGAGGAGGACAGGAGAGUCACAGACAUGUGAUGGGUGGUAGAUGGGAGAGGACAUGCCCUGGACCCUCCAAAUGCUCCAGGUUGUUUUCU
Molecule: long non-coding RNA, 1361 nt
Filed under: Urocitellus parryii (Arctic ground squirrel)
Lineage: Eukaryota; Metazoa; Chordata; Mammalia; Rodentia; Sciuridae
Description: lncRNA (ENSUPAG00010019868.1)
Source: RNAcentral